UUGUCUUCUAUAUAUGCUUGCGUUAACUUCCAUUACUUUUAGCAUGUGGGAUAUAUGAUGUGAGGGAACGAACAUGCCAUAAGGCACAUGUGAGUCCCCUAGGUGCUCUUUGUAUUACUAUUCUUCUUAUUCGGCUGGUUUUGAUCUUCUUAAUCCUUUUCGCAUUAAUACCGUUUGUAUUUUGUGAGAUCUUUCUCUGACCACAUGCAAGCUCCACCAUCCCAUUCUUUGUUAUUUUAUUUCCAACUUUAAGACGAUUUUAUCUUUCAAACCAAAAGUACAAUUUAUGAUAUGUUUUCAUAUUGUGAUUAUGACGAGGAGAACUUCAAAACAACACCACUUUUGAAUGUGUUUCAGCAUGUUCUAAAAAAAUCAAAUUCUAAAACACAAUGAAACACUAUUAAAAGUACACAAAACUAUGAGAUAUUUUGUCAAACACGAUAAAAGUUCAAUGUUUUGUUUGAAUGACUCAUUAUUGAAUUGUUGCAUCAAAUUAUUAAAUUUAUAUGAAACAAAUUUGAAGCAUAUGUGAGUUUAUAGGAUACAUGUUUUAUUAAUCUAUGUACACAAAGCCAAUGUUUUUAACAAAAAGAAAGAUUAUGCUUAUACUUCAUUAUGCAUCCUGUACAUAUAUAAUGGUAUAGAUAAUUCCAUUGCGUGUGAAUGAACGGCGCAUUGAGAAAAUGGCGCCAGAACAAAACCGUGGAAGCGAACUCCUUUUGCUUAUAUCACAAAUUUUGUGCCAUGGUGCAAAAAGAGAGCAAGUGCAUGUGUAUGUUCAGAUAUGAUGAAACCAAAUAAGGUUGCAACUAACAUGUUAUAUUGACUUUCAGUUAUGAACCUUAUGACUCUGAUGCUCUCAAGUUUGGCAACAAUUUGUACUAAGGGCCUGUUCGGCAAUGCUCCGGCUCUCAACUUCCAUUAACUCCGCAGUGAAGUUGAGCUGAACGAGCAAACUCCGUGGAGCUCAAAUCAAGAAGCUGGCUAUUCUGUUAGUGCAAAUUUGAAGGAGUUGGGGAAGCUGCCUUUUCCUGGCUCUGUGAAAACGAAGAAGCUGGAGUUGAAUGUUAUUAUGAUGUGCUGCCACCGACAAGUGAGCUAUGCGUACCGAUUCGCUUUGUCUCUCCCCCAACAGCUCAUAUCUCCUCUCCGUAGCCUCUCCAUGACGGUGGUUGUACAUUUUUUUAAUUAGAAGAAAGGUGCCAUUGUAUGGCUACUGAGCUGGGCUUUGCUCCCUUCCCUCCCAAACGGGCUUGAGCCCAUCUAAAUGGGUUGUCAACCGAUGCCAACGAUGAGAAGCAUGAGGUGUGCAGCCGAACGUUUUUCCAUCACUGUGAGAAGCUAGAAAACCCAAGUGAGGAGUAGAAGUUGAGGAGUUUGGGAAGCUAGGCUGUUGCCGAACAGGCCCUAAAGAUAGGUUAAGUGUCUGAAGCUAUACUGGAAGAUGUAAUUAUUUCUCUCAGUUCGUAGUGCUUGACUAGAUGGCGUCUUCCUACGUAUAGCUUGAAUAGAUGCAACCAUGGACGUUUAAUUAUAAUAUGCAACGCUAGAUAGAUUUCUUUGUCUUGUCCUCGCUUACUUUAUUGGUCCGGUGUAGAUUAGUAGUAUUCUACCACAUGAAAAUAUAUGCACGUCUAUUAUUUUUAUGUUCUUGUGACAAUCAUAGAACCUUUACUGGAAUGCAUCAUUUAUGUGAACAUUAUAAUGCUUAUUUGUAAUGAUGAUCUAAUUCCGCAUGAUGAUUACGAAAAGGUAGCAGCUCACAUCAUAGCCAUUUAUGUUGCUUCUAUUAGGUGUGGCUGAUAAAGACGGGGGGCGAUUUGGGCACGCGAAAGUCCCUUAAAAUCGAGACAAAUCCUACGUUGGAACCAUCUCGAUGUUCUUCGCCAGCAUCGUCGCAUCGAGCCUAUGUAUAUACUAUUGGAUCUUGAAGCCCCAAGUCAUUUUCUGUUAUCAUGAUUAUUUAGCAAAUGCAGAAAACAUUGUCGAUUAUAUUAUAUGUAUAUUGUUGGGUAGUAGUUUUUCCCACUAGAUCUGAAUAUUAGGAAGGAUAUAUCUUGUAGCUGGUCAGAUUCAGAACUCAUGUCGUGAUUUCUUAAGGGCCUAAUGAUUGUUGUUGUUUUUUCCUUUCAAAAAUUGAAACUCCUAGGUGAUUAUCGUAACUAUCAUAAUUGUACAAGCAAGAUUAUCAGAAUAACUAAGCAACUAUUUUAGACUCACUUUCUAUGCCAAGCUGGAAAAUUGACAUGCCUUAUGAUUAUAUAUGCAACCAGUAUUUUUUUUGAAAUGCCAGUGGCAACGCAUCCGUUACAUGUUUUGAGACCUAAGGCGUGAAAUUUUCAUACUAACUACAUAUAUUGUUUGUGCAG
This 2369-nucleotide long non-coding RNA is filed under the name Triticum aestivum (bread wheat). RNAcentral's name for it is "long non-coding RNA (TAES_LNC027919)". The record is from RNAcentral. Lineage: Eukaryota; Viridiplantae; Streptophyta; Magnoliopsida; Poales; Poaceae.